This 762-nucleotide ribosomal RNA is filed under the name uncultured bacterium. RNAcentral's name for it is "bacterial SSU rRNA". It matches the Rfam family "Bacterial small subunit ribosomal RNA", at positions 28 to 776 of the family's 1533-position model. The record is from RNAcentral.
AUUGAACGCUGGCGGGCAGGCUUAACACAUGCAAGUCGGACGGUAACAGGGAGGAAGCUUGCUUUCUUUGCUGACGAGUGGCGGACGGGUGAGUAAUGCUUGGGAAUCUGUUUUAUGGAGGGGGAUAACUACGGGAAACUGUAGCUAAUACCGCGUAAUAUCGAGAGAUUAAAGUGUGGGACCGUAAGGCCACAUGCCAUAGAGUGAGCCCAAGUGGGAUUAGGUAGUUGGUGGGGUAAAGGCCUACCAAGCCGUCGAUCUCUAGCUGGUCUGAGAGGAUGACCAGCCACACUGGGACUGAGACACGGCCCAGACUCCCACGGGAGGCAGCAGUGGGGAAUAUUGCACAAUGGGCGCAAGCCUGAUGCAGCCAUGCCGCGUGAAUGAAGAAGGCCUUCGGGUUGUAAAGUUCUUUCGGUGGUGAGGAAGGUUGUAAUGUUAAUAGCAUUAUAAUUUGACGUUAGCCACAGAAGAAGCACCGGCUAACUCCGUGCCAGCAGCCGCGGUAAUACGGAGGGUGCGAGCGUUAAUCGGAAUAACUGGGCGUAAAGGGCACGCAGGCGGAUACUUAAGUGAGGUGUGAAAGCCCUGGGCUUAACCUAGGAAUUGCAUUUCAUACUGGGUAUCUAGAGUAUUUUAGGGAGGGGUAGAAUUCCACGUGUAGCGGUGAAAUGCGUAGAGAUGUGGAGGAAUACCGAAGGCGAAGGCAGCCCCUUGGGGGAAUACUGACGCUCAUGUGCGAAAGCGUGGGGAGCAAACAGG